GUUGGACCGAGGAGAAUGCAUUGUAAGAUGGGAGUGUUUUUUAUUGAAUCCAUGCAGCAGAAUUCACGUGCAAGUGGGUGGCAGAUAUUUCUUUUCUGUGUGCACCCCCAAAUUCAACAUGUUGCACCCCCUUCUUAUAAGCCNAAAGGAUAAAAUCACCAUAGUGCCCUUCUUGUUGUCCACACUUCUUUGUAGAGAGUUUCGAAUUGUGUGAUAACCCUCAAUAUGUCCAAAAUUAUAUUUUCAAAAUUUCCCUGAAAAUAAUAAUGCAAAUAAUAAGCCAAGAAAAUUCAAAUUAAUUAAAAUUCGAAUUUCCGGUCAGAUUUAGUAUAAUUAGAAAAAACGGGAAAAUACUGAACAAUUAAACACAAUUUCUUGAUCAAUUCUAGCACAAUAAAGUAAGUGAAUUCAAUAAAAUAUCGACUCAUUAAUCUUAUAAAACCGCCAUAUAAUAUUUAUAAACACUAUAUAAUAUUCAUAGAGUAACCAUUAUCUAAAUCACCAAUACCACCUAUAAUAUUCAUUUCAGGGUAACCAUUGUCUAAAUCACCACUGCCACCGACAACCUGGAAGGCUACCCUACACCUAUUCCUCUAUCAACGUCAGUUUCUUUCUCACACCACAAACAACUAUUUCGUAUAUCUUUCGUCACAAUAACUUACGAUUUUAAUUUUUUUGAAAAAAGAAAAAUUUUAAUCUUUGUGGUUUAAUAAUUUAUUUAUAUCACUGGCCCAAUAAUGCGUAAUUCUUUUAUCACU
This 758-nucleotide long non-coding RNA is filed under the name Vigna radiata. Its description in RNAcentral is "long non-coding RNA (VRAD_LNC005831)". The record is from RNAcentral. Lineage: Eukaryota; Viridiplantae; Streptophyta; Magnoliopsida; Fabales; Fabaceae.